Oncorhynchus kisutch (coho salmon) is the source of this 1265-nucleotide long non-coding RNA. RefSeq lists it as uncharacterized. The transcript is spliced from 7 exons. Lineage: Eukaryota; Metazoa; Chordata; Actinopteri; Salmoniformes; Salmonidae. The record is from RefSeq and is a predicted model, not a curated record.
ACCUACUUGAGGAUUGAGGAACGUUAAUGGCUAGCCUAGAUGCUAGCUAGGUAGCUAUUAGUAUUUCACAUGUGACGUGUGGUUUAUGAGUUACUUGAACACCUGUGCAAUACCUUGUUAUUUUCACAGCUGACGAGAACUUGUAUUCCCCAUCCAGACUGUGAGGGUUGAAAAUAUGCUUGUCCUAUCAUGAGGGUGUCUGUGUGUGCUGGAAGUAACAUUUUGCAACAUAUGGUGUAACUAGCGGGAAGGCUAUGGCUAACCUUGGGUGUAGGCAGUUAUCAUGAGUUGUGGGGGACCCAUACAGAACGUAGUGUAGCAAACAACAGACUGUCUUUUGUUAGAACUCAAACUUGGCAAUAACGGGAAACAGAGGUGUGGGCUCAUAAGAUAUUCUCCCCAGCAACAGCUACACCUACCAACUGGAACGCCUGGGGCUGGGACCAGCCUGUGCGCCAAUGAUAGGCUGAGUGAGUCUAAACCAUGCUCAGCCUCUACUCUGAUAGGCCAGCUCAGAAGCGGGAACUCCUUCUGUCACAGUAUAUUAGAAGAACUUUGUCAAGAACUAGUCAGUUCUCUGUUCUGCCCUGCGUGGUGUUACAGUGAACCCGUAUAUACGAAAAUUGCAUUUACCAUUUAUUGCUUGACUAAUAAUUUUAAAAAACAUAGAAGAUUCUCGGUGACUCCGUGUCACCUUCUGUCCUGAUACCAGAUUCGAUCGACGCAACCAUAACAAUCGGUGACCCCGAACGUGAUCUGGUAACCGGACUUCGCUGGAAAUUGUCCGGCCGAUUGGCCAUUGCUAUCGUUGGACGGUGUGCCUCACAAAUCCUGACCGGCCAACUAAAAAAGGAAUACAAUACACCCAUCUCCAGAGAACUGUGAAAGUAGACGUGGAUUCAUCAGAUUUGGCCCUCCCUCAUGUACCUCUUCAACGUGUUGAUGAUGCAGUUUGAUGAGGCCCGUCUGUGGGUGAACACAGACCUUGGCCAACUAGAUUGGAUGGAGCCUCCCUCUGCUGUCAUCCUAAGAUUUGUGCAAAUCCUUCUAAAACUGAAAAUGGACAAAUCAAUGGAUAUCAAAUCAACAAAGAGGUAUACAAACGAGGAGGCAUACAAAGGUAUGUCAGUUGGUAUUGGUAUGUAAUGCAGAUCACAUUUACCAUCCUCCUCCCUUUCCUCUUCAAUGAAUAUCCCUUAGGCCUCUACAUUAUGGACAAGACUUCACCCUCCCUACACCUCUGAUGAAUAUAACAGGGAACCUAU